This is a long non-coding RNA of Amphimedon queenslandica, 421 nucleotides long. RefSeq lists it as uncharacterized. NCBI's taxonomy places the organism in Eukaryota, Metazoa, Porifera, Demospongiae, Haplosclerida, Niphatidae. The transcript has 2 exons. The record is from RefSeq and is a predicted model, not a curated record.
CAACCAAGCACUGCACAAAAUCAAUGAAUCAAGCCUGAUUACAGUAUUGAUAGAGUCUGACAGGUAUCAAAACACUAGAAUACACCAAAGAAACCUAACCACCUUACUAGUUGAGACUUCUUUUGAUUGCUGUGUCAUGGAAAGUGAGUCCUGAAGUUGGGGAAAUUCCAGCAAUCCUGGCAUCACCACAGGAAAUACCGGAGGGCCCAAAGAAUAAACUAGAUCUAGAUAAAUCAAAUGGAAGUAUUAUGAAAAAAAAAUAAGGAUAAAAAUGUAGAACAUAAAAUAAAAAUGAGCCAUCAAAAGAUGCCAGCAGUAUGAAUACUAGCAGUAUGUAGGUUCAGAGUGAUGAUGAUACAAAGAGUAAAGAAACACCUACUGACCGAACCACUGACACUGUUUCACAAGGUGAUACAAAUGA